UGGGUAACCUGCCCUUAACUCUGGGAUAAGCCUGGGAAACUGGGUCUAAUACCGGAUAUGACUCCUCAUCGCAUGGUGGGGGGUGGAAAGCUUUCUGUGGUUUUGGAUGGACUCGCGGCCUAUCAGCUAGUUGGUGAGGUAACGGCUCACCAAGGCGACGAUCCGUAGCUGGUCUGAGAGGAUGAUCAGCCACACUGGGACUGAGACACGGCCCAGACCUCCGUACGGGAGCAG
Molecule: ribosomal RNA, 234 nt
Filed under: uncultured bacterium
Lineage: Bacteria
Description: partial 16S ribosomal RNA
Rfam family: Bacterial small subunit ribosomal RNA
Source: RNAcentral